This 402-nucleotide ribosomal RNA is filed under the name uncultured Sphingomonadaceae bacterium. RNAcentral's name for it is "bacterial SSU rRNA". It matches the Rfam family "Bacterial small subunit ribosomal RNA", at positions 355 to 774 of the family's 1533-position model. The record is from RNAcentral. Lineage: Bacteria; Pseudomonadati; Pseudomonadota; Alphaproteobacteria; Sphingomonadales; Sphingomonadaceae.
UGGGGAAUAUUGGACAAUGGGCGAAAGCCUGAUCCAGCAAUGCCGCGUGAGUGAAGAAGGCCUUAGGGUUGUAAAGCUCUUUUACCCGGGAAGAUAAUGACUGUACCGGGAGAAUAAGCCCCGGCUAACUCCGUGCCAGCAGCCGCGGUAAUACGGAGGGGGCUAGCGUUGUUCGGAAUUACUGGGCGUAAAGCGUACGUAGGCGGUUUUUCAAGUCAGAGGUGAAAGCCCGGGGCUCAACUCCGGAAUUGCCUUUGAAACUGGGAGACUUGAACACGGGAGAGGUGAGUGGAAUUCCGAGUGUAGAGGUGAAAUUCGUAGAUAUUCGGAGGAACACCAGUGGCGAAGGCGGCUCACUGGACCGUAGUUGACGCUGAGGUACGAAAGCGUGGGGAGCAAACA